This 253-nucleotide ribosomal RNA is filed under the name uncultured bacterium. RNAcentral describes it as "partial 16S ribosomal RNA". It matches the Rfam family "Bacterial small subunit ribosomal RNA", at positions 524 to 776 of the family's 1533-position model. The record is from RNAcentral.
UACGGAGGGGGCUAGCGUUGUUCGGAAUUACUGGGCGUAAAGCGCGUGUAGGCGGCUCGGUAAGUCCGCUCUGAAAGCCCGGGGCUCAACCCCGGGAGGCGGGUGGAUACUGCCGGGCUAGAGUCCGGAAGAGGCGAGUGGAAUUCCUGGUGUAGCGGUGAAAUGCGCAGAUAUCAGGAGGAACACCAAUUGCGAAGGCAGCUCGCUGGGACGGUACUGACGCUGAGACGCGAAAGCGUGGGGAGCGAACAGG